Molecule: ribosomal RNA, 486 nt
Filed under: uncultured bacterium
Lineage: Bacteria
Description: partial 16S ribosomal RNA
Rfam family: Bacterial small subunit ribosomal RNA
Source: RNAcentral
AUUGAACGCUGGCGGCAUGCCUUACACAUGCAAGUCGAACGGCAGCACUGCUGCUUGCACCUGGUCGCGAGUGGCGAACGGGUGAGUAAUACAUCGGUACUCUUCCUUGCGCGUGGGAUAGCGCGGCGAAAGCCGGGUUAAUUCCCCAUACGAUCUACGGAUUAAAGCCCGUUGCGGUCAGGCCUUGCGCUUUGGGUUUGCCCGAUGGCUGUCUAGCUAGUUGGGGGGGUAAAGGCUUACCAAGGCGACAAUCAGUAGCUGGCCUGAGAGGACGACCAGCCGCACUGGGAGUGAGACACGGCCCAGAGUCCUACGGGAGGCAGCAGUGGGGAAUUGUGGACAAUGGGCGAAAGCCUGAUCCAGCAAUGCCGCGUGUGUGAAGAAGGCCUUCGGGUUGGAAAGCACGUUUUUCCGGAAAGAAAUCCUUGGCCCUAAUACGGUCGGAGGAUGACGGUACCGGAAGAAGAAGCACCGGCUAACUACGUG